CUCCGUCACUCUGCGACUGUUGCUUGUAGUUUCUCUACGCGAUCAAAUUUGAAAUGAGGAUCCGUAGGAGAACCAGAG
This is a long non-coding RNA of Maniola jurtina (meadow brown), 78 nucleotides long. RefSeq lists it as uncharacterized. The transcript has 3 exons. The record is from RefSeq and is a predicted model, not a curated record. Lineage: Eukaryota; Metazoa; Arthropoda; Insecta; Lepidoptera; Nymphalidae.